RNAcentral lists this ribosomal RNA (984 nucleotides) under uncultured Dysgonomonas sp. Its description in RNAcentral is "bacterial SSU rRNA". It matches the Rfam family "Bacterial small subunit ribosomal RNA", at positions 505 to 1501 of the family's 1533-position model. Lineage: Bacteria; Pseudomonadati; Bacteroidota; Bacteroidia; Bacteroidales; Dysgonomonadaceae. The record is from RNAcentral.
GUGUCAGCAGCCGCGGUAAUACGGAGGAUGCGAGCGUUAUCCGGAUUUAUUGGGUUUAAAGGGUGCGCAGGCGGGAUUUUAAGUCAGCGGUGAAAUUUUCAGGCUCAACCUGAACACUGCCGUUGAAACUGGGAUUCUUGAGUAUGGAUGAAGUAGGCGGAAUUCGUUGUGUAGCGGUGACAUGCUUAGAUAUAACGAGGAACUCCGAUUGCGUAGGCAGCUUACUAAGCCAUAACUGACGCUCAAGCACGAAAGCGUGGGGAUCAAACAGGAUUAGAUACCCUGGUAGUCCACGCCGUAAACGAUGAUUACUAGUUGUUUGCGAUAUACCGUAAGUGACUAAGCGAAAGCGAUAAGUAAUCCACCUGGGGAGUACGCCGGCAACGGUGAAACUCAAAGGAAUUGACGGGGGCCCGCACAAGCGGAGGAACAUGUGGUUUAAUUCGAUGAUACGCGAGGAACCUUACCCGGGCUUGAAAUGUACCUGACCGUCCUUGAAAAGGGACUUCUAGCAAUAGCAGGUAUGUAGGUGCUGCAUGGUUGUCGUCAGCUCGUGCCGUGAGGUGUCGGCUUAAGUGCCAUAACGAGCGCAACCCUUAUUUCCAGUUACUAACAGGUAAUGCUGAGGACUCUGGAGAGACUGCCAGCGUAAGCUGUGAGGAAGGUGGGGAUGACGUCAAAUCAGCACGGCCCUUACAUCCGGGGCGACACACGUGUUACAAUGGUAAGGACAAAGGGCAGCUACCGGGCGACCGGAUGCGAAUCUCUAAACCUUAUCUCAGUUCGGAUCGGAGUCUGCAACUCGACUCCGUGAAGCUGGAUUCGCUAGUAAUCGCGCAUCAGCCAUGGCGCGGUGAAUACGUUCCCGGGCCUUGUACACACCGCCCGUCAAGCCAUGGGAGCCGGGGGUACCUGAAGUUCGUAACCGCAAGGAUCGACCUAGGGUAAAACUGGUGACUGGGGCUAAGUCGUAACAAGGUAACC